AUGCUUACCUGGCAGGGUAGAUACCAUGAUCACGAAGGUGGUUUUCCCAGGGCGAGGCUUAUCCAUUGCACUCCGGAUGUGCUGACCCCUGCAAUUUCCCCAAAUGUGGGAAACUCGACUGCACAAUUUGUAGUGGGGGGGACUGUGUUCGCGCGCUCCCCUG
RNAcentral lists this small nuclear RNA (163 nucleotides) under Myotis davidii. RNAcentral describes it as "U1 spliceosomal RNA". It matches the Rfam family "U1 spliceosomal RNA". From Rfam's summary of the family: U1 is a small nuclear RNA (snRNA) component of the spliceosome (involved in pre-mRNA splicing). Its 5' end forms complementary base pairs with the 5' splice junction, thus defining the 5' donor site of an intron. The record is from Rfam by way of RNAcentral. Lineage: Eukaryota; Metazoa; Chordata; Mammalia; Chiroptera; Vespertilionidae.